RNAcentral lists this non-coding RNA (104 nucleotides) under Yokenella regensburgei. Its description in RNAcentral is "iscR stability element". It matches the Rfam family "iscR stability element". Lineage: Bacteria; Pseudomonadati; Pseudomonadota; Gammaproteobacteria; Enterobacterales; Enterobacteriaceae. The record is from RNAcentral.
AAAGAUUUAGAGCCAGGCCGGGGCAUCCGUGCCCCGUUAACACGGCCGUACAUCAGGUCGGUUGCCUGGUUCCUUGCAUUGAGUGAUGUACGGAGUUUAAGAGC